AGUAAAGAUUUUAAGGGCGUACGGCGGAUGCCUUGGCGAUAUCAGCCGAUGAAGGACGCGGUAAGCUGCGAUAAGCUACGGAGAGGUGCAAGCAACCUUUGACCCGUAG
RNAcentral lists this ribosomal RNA (109 nucleotides) under Streptococcus pneumoniae. Its description in RNAcentral is "partial 23S ribosomal RNA". It matches the Rfam family "Bacterial large subunit ribosomal RNA", at positions 1 to 109 of the family's 2925-position model. Lineage: Bacteria; Bacillati; Bacillota; Bacilli; Lactobacillales; Streptococcaceae. The record is from RNAcentral.